AUAAUAAAGUUAUAUUUUAUGUUUAGUAAGAUCGCGAUGUCCCUAUCACCUUCUAACGACGGCUAGAAUAUAAUAUAGACUGUGCGACAGCACAAGGAGGAAUUGCAUAAUGGAGCAAGGUAAGGUAAAAUGGUUUAACUCAGAAAAAGGCUUCGGUUUUAUCGAACGCGAAAACGGCAACGAUGUAUUCGUUCACUUUUCUGCUAUUUUGGGUGAGGGCUAUAAGACCUUAGAAGAAGGCCAAGUUGUUAACUUCGAAGUUGAAGAAGGCGCUCGUGGUCCUCAAGCAGCAAAUGUUGAAAAAUUAGCUUAAUGCCAAUUAACACACAAAAAGCGAUGGAGCUUCCAUCGCUUUAUUUU
This 360-nucleotide non-coding RNA is filed under the name Abiotrophia defectiva ATCC 49176. RNAcentral describes it as "cspA thermoregulator". It matches the Rfam family "cspA thermoregulator", at positions 114 to 428 of the family's 428-position model. Lineage: Bacteria; Bacillati; Bacillota; Bacilli; Lactobacillales; Aerococcaceae. The record is from Rfam by way of RNAcentral.